This 459-nucleotide ribosomal RNA is filed under the name uncultured bacterium. RNAcentral describes it as "partial 16S ribosomal RNA". It matches the Rfam family "Bacterial small subunit ribosomal RNA", at positions 28 to 507 of the family's 1533-position model. The record is from RNAcentral.
GAUGAACGCUGGCGGCGCGCCUAACACAUGCAAGUCGAACGGCACCCCUCCUCGGAGGGAAGCGAGUGGUGAACGGCUGAGUAACACGUGGAGAACCUGCCCCCUCCCCCGGGAUAGCCGCCCGAAAGGACGGGUAAUACCGGAUACCCCGGGGUGCCGCAUGGCACCCCGGCUAAAGCCCCGACGGGAGGGGAUGGCUCCGCGGCCCAUCAGGUAGACGGCGGGGUGACGGCCCACCGUGCCGACAACGGGUAGCCGGGUUGAGAGACCGACCGGCCAGAUUGGGACUGAGACACGGCCCAGACUCCUACGGGAGGCAGCAGUGGGGAAUCUUGCGCAAUGGGGGGAACCCUGACGCAGCGACGCAGCGUGCGGGACGGAGGCCUGCGGGUCGUAAACCGCUUUCAGCAGGGAAGAGUCAAGACUGUACCUGAAGAAGAAGCCCCGGCUAACUACGUG